AACGAACGCUGGCGGCAGGCCUAACACAUGCAAGUCGAGCGGACCCUUCGGGGUUAGCGGCGGACGGGUGAGUAACGCGUGGGAAUAUGCCCUUCUCUACGGAAUAGUCCUGGGAAACUGGGGGUAAUACCGUAUACGCCCUUUGGGGGAAAGAUUUAUCGGGGAAGGAUUAGCCCGCGUUGGAUUAGGUAGUUGGUGGGGUAAUGGCCUACCAAGCCGACGAUCCAUAGCUGGUUUGAGAGGAUGAUCAGCCACACUGGGACUGAGACACGGCCCAGACUCCUACGGGAGGCAGCAGAGGGGAAUCUUAGACAAUGGGGGCAACCCUGAUCUAGCCAUGCCGCGUGAGUGAUGAAGGCCUUAGGGUUGUAAAGCCCUUUCAGCUGGGAAGAUAAUGACGGUACCAGCAGAAGAAGCCCCGGCUAACUCCGUG
Molecule: ribosomal RNA, 433 nt
Filed under: uncultured bacterium
Lineage: Bacteria
Description: partial 16S ribosomal RNA
Rfam family: Bacterial small subunit ribosomal RNA
Source: RNAcentral